GUUCAUUAUGGUAGACUGAACACUUGAAUAUAUAUAGCGACCAGGAUCCAGCUGAACCUUAUCAUUAACGAUGAAAACAUUACUAGUUUUAUUGUUAGUUUUUUCUCUUCUGACAACAACACUUUGCACCGAUGAGGGUGUAAAAGUGUCAGAUGUUGCCGGAGAGAGCCGACUGAGGAGAGCAUUGAGUCAAAGAGUGUUUUUAAACAAGGAGGCAAAGGGCUUAAAACCUUGAUGCAGCGGAUGAAAGAAAUGAAACUAAUUUAAGACUGCGACAGAUAUCCAAACAAUUGAUUCAAGUCGUCAGCAGUCCUAAAUUAGUUGCUUUUCUACAAAGUUCAUCAACAUUGUAUUCACCGCCGGGAACAGUGUGACUACUGGAUACUAAAAGCUUCAAUAGGGCAAGUUCCAGUAAGAUGAUACCUUUGGUAAAGAAUCAAUGUACUGUAUAUAUGUGUACAUAUAUUGUUAACUUCAAAUUGUAUAAACAAAAUGUACGGCUCGUCAUUGUGUAGUGUCAUCUACUUGUAUGUACUUUUACGCAGGACUAAUGUUAUUUAACUAAUGCAUUUUAUACCAAUUACUGCUACAUGUUAAAAGAAAUUAUAUCAAAUAAUUCUGUUUCUCAAUAAAAACGCACAAUAAAAUAUAUACACACCUAAUAUCCUUAUAUGCUUUAGAUUAAAUGGUAUUAUAUUGCUUAUCAUUCUGCUUUUGUAUACUUAUUUGUACACAAAAUUUAAUAAACUCUAAUGUUA
Molecule: long non-coding RNA, 758 nt
Organism: Ruditapes philippinarum (Manila clam)
Lineage: Eukaryota; Metazoa; Mollusca; Bivalvia; Venerida; Veneridae
Exons: 4
Source: RefSeq, a predicted model, not a curated record